GUGUUUAGCCACAUUCUUUCAAGAGCAAGGAAUUGCACAUGAACGCUUGUGUCUAUCGACGCCUGAGCAGAAUGGACGAGUAGAAAGCAAGUACCGACAUAUUCUCAA
This 108-nucleotide small RNA is filed under the name Arabidopsis thaliana (thale cress). RNAcentral describes it as "ATSL262320". The record is from RNAcentral. Lineage: Eukaryota; Viridiplantae; Streptophyta; Magnoliopsida; Brassicales; Brassicaceae.